CCUACGGGUGGCUGCAGUGGGGAAUAUUGGGCAAUGGGCGCAAGCCUGAACCAGCAAAGCAGCGUGAAGGAUGAAGGCUUUCGGGUUGUAAACUUCUUUUGUCAGGGAAGUGUAGAAGACGGUGUCUGACGCUUAAGCUAUGGCUAACUACGUGCCAGCAGCUGCGGUAAUACGGAGGUGGCAAGCGUUAUCCGGGUUUAGUGGGUGUAACGGGCGUGUAGCCGGGUUGACAAGUCAGAUGUGAAAUCCUGCGGCUUAACCGUAGAACUGCAGUUGAAACUGGUGAUCUUGAGUACAGGAGAGGCAGACGGAAUUCGUAGUGUAGCGGUGAAAUGCGUAGAUAUUACGAGGAACACCAGUUGCGAAGGCAGUCUGCUGGACAGCAACUGACGGUGAUGCUCGAAAGCGUGGGGAGCAAACAGGAUUAGAUACCCGGGUAGUC
Molecule: ribosomal RNA, 442 nt
Filed under: uncultured bacterium
Lineage: Bacteria
Description: partial 16S ribosomal RNA
Rfam family: Bacterial small subunit ribosomal RNA
Source: RNAcentral